Molecule: transfer RNA, 73 nt
Filed under: Methylomonas methanica MC09
Lineage: Bacteria; Pseudomonadati; Pseudomonadota; Gammaproteobacteria; Methylococcales; Methylococcaceae
Rfam family: tRNA
About the family: Transfer RNA (tRNA) molecules are approximately 80 nucleotides in length. Their secondary structure includes four short double-helical elements and three loops (D, anti-codon, and T loops).
Source: Rfam by way of RNAcentral
GCCGGCAUAGCUCAGCAGGUAGAGCAGCGCACUCGUAAGGCGAAGGUCGUAGGUUCGAUUCCUAUUGCCGGCA